GACGGCAAGUUUGCCUAGCGGGUCUCCCCUGGCCCGCACCUGCGCAGGAGCGUCCCAUCAAGUCCGAGGCAAACUAAGGACAAGGCAAAAAGAGUGCUCGACACCCGAACCUCAGGGAAGAGCGCCUCAUCUCUAAAGUCUGCACGUCUACGACUCGCAACAGCUAGGUCAGCGCGGGUGACUGCCGUGGGGAGGAGACUUCCACCACAGCCAGCAGAGUGAGGGCUCAUGUGCCCCGUGCCUAGAAGAGCUUGCCGCAGCCUUGCUGCUCACAGCGUGGUACUGACCGGCAGCACUGGCGCCGCCGAGGAGCAUGUUGAAAACGCAGGACCAUGGGUCUCAGACCUACUGAAUCCGCAUCUGUUAACAGCACUCCCCUGGAAGGCACAGGCACGUCAACGUUUGAGAAGCCCUCUGCUACUGGACUUGAUGGCUGAAGGGGAGAGGCCGAGGGAGAAGCAGCGAAUGUAUUUUUCAGGAUCUCAGCCUCCACUUCCAAUUCCUCACCGCUCUUUUCUCACCCUUGCCUUCUAAGUCCCUGCAGAGUCUGCAGAGCAGUUUCUAGAAUCUUCUGGUGGUAAGAGACAGAACACAGGAAGGCAUCCAUACAUCUGAGCUACAUUUUUGUGUUUUGGGUUUUUUUUUCUUUCUGAGUUGUGACUAGGAGGCUCCAAAACGAGUGAGACUUAACCAGGAACUGGGCUUCAGAACCUCCUUUCCGUUAUUGAGUUCCCACUGGUGUGCCAUUUUCUUUCAACACCAGUGUUGUACCUGGGUGCAGGCUCCAUCCCCUAAAGGGGUCGUGCAGGAGGCAGCAAAUCAAUGAUUCCCUCUCAUCAUCGAUGUUUCUAUCUCUCUCUUCCUCUCCCUUCUUCUCUGAAAUCAAUAAAAAUGCAUUACAAAAAAAAAAAAAUCCAAACAGGGGCGCUGUGCCAUCCUCUCAGCCAAGACUCGAUUCCCUUUCCGUGGCAGCAGGGCCAGCAGGGAGCAGCAAAGGCAGCCACCACCCCUCAGAGUGUCUGGGCCUCCCAGCAGCUCAGUCAUCUUACCCUGUGCUUACCUGGCCUACAAGGAAACCCAGGUUCUCAGAUGGAAAGUUCAAGGUCAUCCAGGUGUUGGACAGACAGAGGCUUAGAACCCAGGCACCCUGUGGAGAGCCACUGGAUGGUGCCCGAUUUCAUCCAAGAUGCACAUCUUUUUUAUAUCUUCAUAUCUCAGAAACCAGGAUGCAUUUUACAUGCGAUGCCAAGAGAAAGCAAUACUGCUGUUUACAUGGCAGCGCGUCUUUUUUAGUUUUUCUUCCUUUCUUGCUUAGGGAUACAAAAAAUAAUGGUGUCUCUCAUAAGGUAUUCUACCUUAAACUUGUAGAAUACUAUAAUAAUAAAAGCCUCAGUUUAUUGAA
Molecule: long non-coding RNA, 1402 nt
Organism: Myotis daubentonii (Daubenton's bat)
Lineage: Eukaryota; Metazoa; Chordata; Mammalia; Chiroptera; Vespertilionidae
Source: RefSeq, a predicted model, not a curated record